UACGUAGGGUGCGAGCGUUGUCCGGAUUUAUUGGGUUUAAAGGGUGCGUAGGCGGGAGUUUAAGUCUGUGUUCAAAGCCGGCCGCUCAACGGUCUGGUCGGGCAUGGAUACUGGACUUCUUGAGAGAGCUCGGGGCUGGUGGAAUUUGUGGUGUAGCGGUGAAAUGCAUAGAUACCACAAGGAACACCGAUCGCGUAGGCAGCCAGCCAGGGCUCUUCUGACGCUGAGGCACGAAAGUGCGGGGAGCAAACAGG
Molecule: ribosomal RNA, 254 nt
Filed under: uncultured bacterium
Lineage: Bacteria
Description: partial 16S ribosomal RNA
Rfam family: Bacterial small subunit ribosomal RNA
Source: RNAcentral